RNAcentral lists this transfer RNA (61 nucleotides) under Actinomycetota bacterium. RNAcentral's name for it is "tRNA-Ser". It matches the Rfam family "tRNA". Rfam says of the family: Transfer RNA (tRNA) molecules are approximately 80 nucleotides in length. Their secondary structure includes four short double-helical elements and three loops (D, anti-codon, and T loops). Lineage: Bacteria; Bacillati; Actinomycetota. The record is from RNAcentral.
GCAGACGUCGGCAAUCACCUUGCCAAGGUGAGGGUCGCGGGUUCGAGUCCCGUCGUCCGCU